Molecule: ribosomal RNA, 253 nt
Filed under: uncultured bacterium
Lineage: Bacteria
Description: partial 16S ribosomal RNA
Rfam family: Bacterial small subunit ribosomal RNA
Source: RNAcentral
UACGAAGGUCCCAAGCGUUAUCCGGAUUUAUUGGGUUUAAAGGGUGCGUAGGCGGGCUAUUAAGUCAGUGGUGAAAGCCCCAAGCUUAACUUGGGAACUGCCAUUGAUACUGAUGGUCUUGAGUACAUUUGAGGUGGGCGGAAUGUGUCAUGUAGCGGUGAAAUGCUUAGAUAUGACACAGAACACCGAUUGCGAAGGCAGCUCACUAAACUGUAACUGACGCUGAGGCUCGAAAGCGUGGGGAGCAAACAGG